Molecule: ribosomal RNA, 426 nt
Filed under: uncultured bacterium
Lineage: Bacteria
Description: bacterial SSU rRNA
Rfam family: Bacterial small subunit ribosomal RNA
Source: RNAcentral
GGGGAAUAUUGGACAAUGGGCGCAAGCCUGAUCCAGCAAUGCCGCGUGUGUGAAGAAGGCCUGCGGGUUGUAAAGCACUUUUGUCCGGAAAGAAAUCAUCCGAGUUAAUACCUUGGAUGGAUGACGGUACCGGAAGAAUAAGCACCGGCUAACUUCGUGCCAGCAGCCGCGGUAAUACGAAGGGUGCAAGCGUUAAUCGGACUUACUGGGCGUAAAGGGUGCGUAGGUGGUCUGUUAAGUCGGAUGUGAAAGCCCCGGGCUCAACCUGGGAACUGCAUCCGAUACUGGCGGACUUGGAGUCUUGGAGAGGGUGGUGGAAUUCCUGGUGUAGCGGUGAAAUGCGUAGAGAUCAGGAGGAACACUAGUGGCGAAGGCGGCCACCUGGCCAAAGACUGACGCUGAGGCACGAAAGCGUGGGGAGCAAAC